AGGCGCGAUAGCUGGUGCGAUGUGCACAACUGUGAGUCAUCGAGUUUUUGAACGCAAGUGUGCCUGGGCGAUAAGGGUCCAGGCGGGGGUGUUUGUGAGGGGCGGACCUGUGUAGUGGGGAGCUGAUGUGAGGGUGGGGAGAGGUGUAUGUGGGACACUUGUGAACCACAUUAAUCACUCCAACCCUUGAAAGAAAGUGUGAAUGAGAGGGAGGGAUGGCAGCACGGCGGAACUGGUUCGAGUGGAUUUAUGGUCAUUUGAUCACAAUCUCACCCAUCAACCUGCUCCAUCCCAAACCUCUCGCCCUUCUCCCACAAACACCCCAGAUCACCCGCCAAACUUAA
Molecule: unclassified non-coding RNA, 344 nt
Filed under: uncultured fungus
Lineage: Eukaryota; Fungi
Description: sequence contains ITS1
Source: RNAcentral